AGGGCUUACAUAGGCUAUGCCUAUUGCCCAAUCCAAUUCAAUUUUAUUUGAAUAAAAUAUUGUUUAAACUAUAAUUGUUUCUUGAAAUUAGGUUUUGACCUAGUUUUCAGUAACUUCGAAUUUUCUAUAAUGGGUUCUUUCAAAUCAACUGGUUUGAAAUUCUUUUUAGUGCAUAUUUUCAAUUGAUGUCCUUGUUCUGUUACAAGGGUUAGUUAUGAUAAGAGAAGAAUUGAGUUCUUAUACAACCAUGUUUCGGGGCCUGUUAUAGCUGACUGUGCGGUAUGGGCUUUGCUCAUUGU
Molecule: long non-coding RNA, 299 nt
Filed under: Mytilus galloprovincialis (Mediterranean mussel)
Lineage: Eukaryota; Metazoa; Mollusca; Bivalvia; Mytilida; Mytilidae
Source: RNAcentral